RNAcentral lists this unclassified non-coding RNA (732 nucleotides) under Penaeus monodon (black tiger shrimp). Its description in RNAcentral is "uncharacterized LOC119573137, transcript variant X1". Lineage: Eukaryota; Metazoa; Arthropoda; Malacostraca; Decapoda; Penaeidae. The record is from RNAcentral.
GGAAUAUACAAAUGCUGAUGCGUGUAGUCUGUCUGCUAAUCUCAUUUUAAAUCUGAAGAAGAUAAUUUCGUUGUAUUAACUGUGACCAGAUUUGUCGAUACGAAUCUGGGGCUAUAUAUGACAUGUUAAUCUUACAAAAAACGAUACCUUUUGUGAAGACAGUGAUCUCUUACCCGGCAGAAUCAGGGUCAGCGCCGAGCCACGACCACCACCGUCACAUUCCACUCUGAACAGGGUGCUUUGAUGCAUCAACACACUAAAAUUCGGCCUUAUUUUUUGCCGCGCACCAAAAGAGUGUCGCGAUGAAUGGUGAUUUUCACUGCUCAGGGGCGCUCAUUGCUCACUCGCAGCCCAUCGCGUACCCCGGUGUGGGUGUCGAUAUGCGGCUCUGGGAAGGUUCUUGCUUACAUUCAAUUACAUAACUGUGUUUUUACGUAUAGUUUGGGAACAUGUGCUUGUCAUUUCAUUUGAGUUUUACGUUUAUUUGCCCGUAAAUUGUGUUUUAUAUAUAUUGUAAAUAACGGAAUCAAUAUCAUAUUUAUUAACAUCAAGGGCCUAGAGCAUCAAACAUUGUGACAUGCCGUAGUAAGGCACAAUAUAUUGGCUAAUAACGCUGAUUUGUAAUGUCUGAUAAUUUAGAAGACAAAUAUAUAACAGUAGUCUUCGGCUUGAAAUGCAUCUUUGUAAAUAGUUUAGUAUGGUGUAAUUGUUAAUAUAAAUUUAUUUUAAAAA